ACCCGCUGAACUUAAGCAUAUCAAUAAGCGGAGGAAAAGAAACUAACAAGGAUUCCCCUAGUAACGGCGAGUGAAGCGGGAAAAGCUCAAAUUUAAAAUCUGGGAGGGUUUCCCUCUCCGAAUUGUAGUUUAGAGAAGUGUUUUCGGAGGCACCUUGGGCAUAAGUCCUUUGGAAUAAGGCAUCAUAGAGGGUGAGAAUCCCGUUCAUGGCCCUGUGCGCUGCCUUCAUGUGGUACACUUUCGAAGAGUCGGGUUGUUUGGGAAUGCAGCCCAAAAUGGGUGGUAAAUCCCAUCUAAAGCUAAAUAUUGGCGAGAGACCGAUAGCGAACAAGUACCGUGAGGGAAAGAUGAAAAGAACUUUGAAAAGAGAGUUAAAUAGUACGUGAAAUUGCCAAAAGGGAAACGCUUGAAACCAGUACUGCCUGCAGAAAAUCAGCCAGUCAUGCCGAAUCACACGGUAGUUGGACCUUAUCAGCCAGCUGCCGUGCGCUGGAGGUUUUGGCUGGUGCACUUUUCUGUUGGCAAGUCAACAUCAGUUUCAUUUGCCGUAAAAAGAUGGCGGGAAGGUAAGUCGGGGAAACCUGGCUGUUAUAGCCCCCAUUUAUGCGGUGGAUGGGACUGAGGAACGCAGUGCAGGCCUUCAUGGCUGGGAAAGCCGUUCGCUGCCUGAAUCUUUUCUGUGGACAGCAUGCUGACUACAGAAAAGUAGUUUGGACACACGGGCGGUUCACCACAACUGCACUUAGGAUGUUGACGAAAUGGUUUU
RNAcentral lists this ribosomal RNA (766 nucleotides) under uncultured fungus. RNAcentral describes it as "eukaryotic LSU rRNA". It matches the Rfam family "Eukaryotic large subunit ribosomal RNA", at positions 23 to 641 of the family's 3401-position model. Lineage: Eukaryota; Fungi. The record is from RNAcentral.